This 319-nucleotide ribosomal RNA is filed under the name uncultured eukaryote. Its description in RNAcentral is "partial 18S ribosomal RNA". It matches the Rfam family "Eukaryotic small subunit ribosomal RNA", at positions 1470 to 1796 of the family's 1831-position model. The record is from RNAcentral.
CCCUUAGAUGGUCUGGGCGGCACGCGCGCUACAAUGAUGCAUUCAGAAAGUCUUCUGACCUUAGAAGGUUGGGUAUUCUCCAAAGUGCAUCGUGAUGGGAAUAGUUUAUUGCAAUUUUUAAUCUUGAACGAGGAAUUUCUAGUAAAUACAGGUCAUCAACUUGUGUUGAUUACGUCCCUGCCCUUUGUACACACCGCCCGUCGCUCCUACUGAUUGAGUGUCUCGGUGAAUUCUUUGAUUCUCUGUCGAUUCAGUUCACUGAUCCGACGGUGGAAAGUUGAAUGAACUUCGUCACUUAGAGGAAGGAGAAGUCGUAACA